UGGAGAAGUCAGAACCAUCAAACCCCAUCCCAUCCAGACCGGCCCAUCUACUCUCUUCAGCCCUGGCCUCUGCAGGCCGCUACUGGUGUCUGGUCAGGGCCUGCACUCUUCCGUCUCCUUUGGGGCAGUUUUAGGCCCUGAAAGACCGUAGCUAGCUCAGGCUUGGGAUCCAAGGGCCAGAGGUAGAGCCGUGAGAACACAACCCCAAAGCGGGAGAUGGACUCAGGGGGCGGGGCGAUCUCCAGCCCCGCCCCGGCCACACGCUCCAGGGUCAGGAGGAAAGGAUGCUCCCUUCCUUCGGGCGUCUCGGGGGAGACGUCCUCAGAGGUCCUAGUGGAUACGGAGGGGCCUCAGGGCCUAACUCAGGCUCUAACAGAAUCCCUCCCACCCCUUCUGUCACCUGAAGUCGUCAUCGUCGUCGUCGUCCUCGUCGUCUUCGUCAUAGUCCUCCAUCUCUCGGUCGGUGCUGGUCCUGCUGGAGCUUGUCGUGGUGCCCCUGGCCGACGGCCUCUCGAGAUAUUCCGGGCUCAACGAUUUGGGCCCACAGAACUUGGACUCCACCUCAUCCAACAAUGCAGCUCAUUGUCCUUUCAUGUUGAAAUCAUUUUGGCUGUUGGUUCUGACCUCCAACUUGAUUGUUAUGGCUAUCACAAUCGUGGCCUUGGCAAUUGAUCUUUAGAGCAGGAGCCCAUCUGCCAAGGUGAUAACUAGUCAAUCCAAUAAUAUAUCAGAUAACCAGUGUGCUACUGGGGCAGUAGAAAGAGCAUUCCAUUUUGAGCCAUGAAGCUUGACUUUGAACCCUUGCUCUGCUGCCUAUUAAUUGUGCAACCCUGAGUAAGUCACUUCUCUUCUAAAGACACCAUGCAACUCUCUAAAUCUAUAAUUUACAGAAGAGUUCCUGAUCUGUAGCAGCUGAGGGAGUUGUACACGGGGAGUUUCCAGACUGAUAAAAUCUCCCUAAAACAAAAUAAAACUGAUUUCAAUAAUAAACUGCA
This 995-nucleotide long non-coding RNA is filed under the name Monodelphis domestica (gray short-tailed opossum). RNAcentral's name for it is "lncRNA (ENSMODG00000024548.3)". Lineage: Eukaryota; Metazoa; Chordata; Mammalia; Didelphimorphia; Didelphidae. The record is from RNAcentral.